AGAGUUUGAUCCUGGCUCAGGACGAACGCUGGCGGCGCGCCUAACACAUGCAAGUCGAACGAGCGAGAGAGAGCUUGCUUUCUCGAGCGAGUGGCGAACGGGUGAGUAACGCGUGAGGAACCUGCCUCAAAGAGGGGGACAACAGUUGGAAACGACUGCUAAUACCGCAUAAGCCCACAGGUCGGCAUCGACCAGGGGGAAAAGGAGCAAUCCGCUUUGAGAUGGCCUCGCGUCCGAUUAGCUAGUUGGUGAGGUAACGGCCCACCAAGGCAACGAUCGGUAGCCGGACUGAGAGGUUGAACGGCCACAUUGGGACUGAGACACGGCCCAGACUCCUACGGGAGGCAGCAGUGGGGAAUAUUGCACAAUGGGGGAAACCCUGAUGCAGCGACGCCGCGUGGAGGAAGAAGGUCUUCGGAUUGUAAACUCCUGUUGUUGAGGAAGAUAAUGACGGUACUCAACAAGGAAGUGACGGCUAACUACGUGCCAGCAGCCGCGGUAAAACGUAGGUCACAAGCGUUGUCCGGAAUUACUGGGUGUAAAGGGAGCGCAGGCGGGAAGACAAGUUGGAAGUGAAAUCCAUGGGCUCAACCCAUGAACUGCUUUCAAAACUGUUUUUCUUGAGUAGUGCAGAGGUAGGCGGAAUUCCCGGUGUAGCGGUGGAAUGCGUAGAUAUCGGGAGGAACACCAGUGGCGAAGGCGGCCUACUGGGCACCAACUGACGCUGAGGCUCGAAAGUGUGGGUAGCAAACAGGAUUAGAUACCCUGGUAGUCCACACCGUAAACGAUGAUUACUAGGUGUUGGAGGAUUGACCCCUUCAGUGCCGCAGUUAACACAAUAAGUAAUCCACCUGGGGAGUACGACCGCAAGGUUGAAACUCAAAGGAAUUGACGGGGGCCCGCACAAGCAGUGGAGUAUGUGGUUUAAUUCGACGCAACGCGAAGAACCUUACCAAGUCUUGACAUCCUGCGACAGUUCUGGAAACAGUACUUUCCUUCGGGACGCAGAGACAGGUGGUGCAUGGCUGUCGUCAGCUCGUGUCGUGAGAUGUUGGGUUAAGUCCCGCAACGAGCGCAACCCUUAUGGUCAGUUACUACGCAAGAGGACUCUGGCCAGACUGCCGUUGACAAAACGGAGGAAGGUGGGGAUGACGUCAAAUCAUCAUGCCCCUUAUGACCAGGGCUACACACGUGCUACAAUGGCGUAAACAAAGAGAAGCGAACUCGCGAGGGUAAGCAAAUCUCAAAAAUAACGUCUCAGUUCGGAUUGUAGUCUGCAACUCGACUACAUGAAGCUGGAAUCGCUAGUAAUCGCAGAUCAGAAUGCUGCGAUGAGUACGUUCCCGGGUCUUGUACACACCGCCCGUCACACCAUGGGAGUCAGUAACGCCCGAAGUCAGUGACCCAACCGUAAGGAGGGAGCUGCCGAAGGUGGGACCGAUAACUGGGGUGAAGUCGUAACAAGGUA
RNAcentral lists this ribosomal RNA (1468 nucleotides) under metagenome. Its description in RNAcentral is "bacterial SSU rRNA". It matches the Rfam family "Bacterial small subunit ribosomal RNA". The record is from RNAcentral.